RNAcentral lists this ribosomal RNA (392 nucleotides) under uncultured bacterium. RNAcentral describes it as "bacterial SSU rRNA". It matches the Rfam family "Bacterial small subunit ribosomal RNA", at positions 28 to 420 of the family's 1533-position model. The record is from RNAcentral.
GACGAACGCUGGCGGCGUGCUUAACACAUGCAAGUCGAGCGGUAAGGCCCUUUCGGGGGUACACGAGCGGCGAACGGGUGAGUAACACGUGGGUGACCUGCCCUCAGCUCUGGGAUAAGCCUGGGAAACCGGGUCUAAUACCGGAUAUGACUCCAUGACGCAUGUUGUGGGGUGGAAAGCCUUGUGCGGCUGAGGAUGGGCCCGCGGCCUAUCAGCUUGUUGGUGGGGUGAUGGCCUACCAAGGCGACGACGGGUAGCCGGCCUGAGAGGGCGACCGGCCACACUGGGACUGAGACACGGCCCAGACUCCUACGGGAGGCAGCAGUGGGGAAUCUUGCGCAAUGGGGCGAAAGCCUGACGCAGCGACGCCGCGUGAGGGAUGACGGCCUGGU